ACUGUUUGGACGAGGGGCCCCUCUCGGGUUACCGAAUUCAGACAAACUCCGAAUGCCAAUUAAUUUAACUUGGGAGUCAGAACAUGGGUGAUAAGGUCCGUGUUCGAAAGGGAAACAGCCCAGACCACCAGCUAAGGUCCCAAAAUAUAUGUUAAGUGGAAAAGGAUGUGGCGUUGCCCAGACAACUAGGAUGUUGGCUUAGAAGCAGCCAUCAUUUAAAGAGUGCGUAAUAGCUCACUAGUCGAGUGACACUGCGCCGAAAAUGUACCGGGGCUAAACAUAUUACCGAAGCUGUGGAUUGUCCUUUGGACAAUGGUAGGAGAGCGUUCUAAGGGCGUUGAAGCAUGAUCGUAAGGACAUGUGGAGCGCUUAGAAGUGAGAAUGCCGGUGUGAGUAGCGAAAGACGGGUGAGAAUCCCGUCCACCGAUUGACUAAGGUUUCCAGAGGAAGGCUCGUCCGCUCUGGGUUAGUCGGGUCCUAAGCUGAGGCCGACAGGCGUAGGCGAUGGAUAACAGGUUGAUAUUCCUGUACCACCUAUAAUCGUUUUAAUCGAUGGGGGGACGCAGUAGGAUAGGCGAAGCGUGCGAUUGGAUUGCACGUCUAAGCAGUAAGGCUGAGUAUUAGGCAAAUCCGGUACUCAUUAAGGCUGAGCUGUGAUGGGGAGAAGACAUUGUGUCUUCGAGUCGUUGAUUUCACACUGCCGAGAAAAGCCUCUAGAUAGAAAAUAGGUGCCCGUACCGCAAACCGACACAGGUAGUCAAGAUGAGAAUUCUAAGGUGAGCGAGCGAACUCUCGUUAAGGAACUCGGCAAAAUGACCCCGUAACUUCGGGAGAAGGGGUGCUCUUUAGGGUUAACGCCCAGAAGAGCCGCAGUGAAUAGGCCCAAGCGACUGUUUAUCAAAAACACAGGUCUCUGCUAAACCGUAAGGUGAUGUAUAGGGGCUGACGCCUGCCCGGUGCUGGAAGGUUAAGAGGAGUGGUUAGCUUCUGCGAAGCUACGAAUCGAAGCCCCAGUAAACGGCGGCCGUAACUAUAACGGUCCUAAGGUAGCGAAAUUCCUUGUCGGGUAAGUUCCGACCCGCACGAAAGGCGUAACGAUUUGGGCACUGUCUCAACGAGAGACUCGGUGAAAUCAUAGUACCUGUGAAGAUGCAGGUUACCCGCGACAGGACGGAAAGACCCCGUGGAGCUUUACUGUAGCCUGAUAUUGAAAUUCGGCACAGCUUGUACAGGAUAGGUAGGAGCCUUUGAAACGUGAGCGCUAGCUUACGUGGAGGCGCUGGUGGGAUACUACCCUAGCUGUGUUGGCUUUCUAACCCGCACCACUUAUCGUGGUGGGAGACAGUGUCAGGCGGGCAGUUUGACUGGGGCGGUCGCCUCCUAAAAGGUAACGGAGGCGCUCAAAGGUUCCCUCAGAAUGGUUGGAAAUCAUUCAUAGAGUGUAAAGGCAUAAGGGAGCUUGACUGCGAGACCUACAAGUCGAGCAGGGUCGAAAGACGGACUUAGUGAUCCGGUGGUUCCGCAUGGAAGGGCCAUCGCUCAACGGAUAAAAGCUACCCCGGGGAUAACAGGCUUAUCUCCCCCAAGAGUUCACAUCGACGGGGAGGUUUGGCACCUCGAUGUCGGCUCAUCGCAUCCUGGGGCUGUAGUCGGUCCCAAGGGUUGGGCUGUUCGCCCAUUAAAGCGGUACGCGAGCUGGGUUCAGAACGUCGUGAGACAGUUCGGUCCCUAUCCGUCGUGGGCGUAGGAAAUUUGAGAGGAGCUGUCCUUAGUACGAGAGGACCGGGAUGGACAUACCUCUGGUGUACCAGUUGUCGUGCCAACGGCAUAGCUGGGUAGCUAUGUGUGGACGGGAUAAGUGCUGAAAGCAUCUAAGCAUGAAGCCCCCCUCAAGAUGAGAUUUCCCAACUUCGGUUAUAAGAUCCCUCAAAGAUGAUGAGGUUAAUAGGUUCGAGGUGGAAGCAUGGUGACAUGUGGAGCUGACGAAUACUAA
Molecule: ribosomal RNA, 1993 nt
Filed under: Staphylococcus aureus
Lineage: Bacteria; Bacillati; Bacillota; Bacilli; Caryophanales; Staphylococcaceae
Description: partial 23S ribosomal RNA
Rfam family: Bacterial large subunit ribosomal RNA
Source: RNAcentral